RNAcentral lists this small nucleolar RNA (138 nucleotides) under Ornithorhynchus anatinus (platypus). Lineage: Eukaryota; Metazoa; Chordata; Mammalia; Monotremata; Ornithorhynchidae. The record is from RNAcentral.
ACCCUCUCAGGGUUGGACCUGGAGAUUUUCCAGUACUCUACCAGUUUUGGCUAUGAGAGGGAGAGUCAAGCAGAGGCAUACCUAUUCCAUUCUUAGCUUGGCCAGUGGCUAGUGAGUGGAAGGCAAUCUGCUACAAGU